UUAGGGAGACCAGUAGUGGGUUGACCCGGUUCUAAAAAGAACAAAAGUCAGCCAGCUAAUAUCCCAGGUCGUGCGAGUAAAGAGAAGUCAAAACUUUCAAACUAUUAAAGGUUCGGUAAACGGGCUAUUAGCUCAGGUGGUUAGAGCGCACCCCUGAUAAGGGUGAGGUCCCUGGUUCGAGUCCAGGAUGGCCCACCUCUAAAAAGAGGGGAAAAGCAACCUCAAGCCGAAAGGGAAUAGAAGUAAUUGAGUACCCCUCCCAGCACCUCAACUCGCCUGAACAGGGCAGUAAGUCUGCUGGAGUUAAAUCCGGUACAGCACCUUGAAAACUGCAUAGCAAUAAGUCAAAAAAGCAGGUAAGGAAACUGAUGUCAUUUUAGGCAUCAGAAACUUUACAGAAGAAAAAACCAAUGU
This 414-nucleotide transfer RNA is filed under the name Microcoleus vaginatus. RNAcentral describes it as "16S-23S internal transcribed spacer". The stretch from base 122 to 195 matches the Rfam family "tRNA". Lineage: Bacteria; Bacillati; Cyanobacteriota; Cyanophyceae; Oscillatoriales; Microcoleaceae. The record is from RNAcentral.